Molecule: ribosomal RNA, 253 nt
Filed under: uncultured bacterium
Lineage: Bacteria
Description: partial 16S ribosomal RNA
Rfam family: Bacterial small subunit ribosomal RNA
Source: RNAcentral
UACGUAGGUGGCGAGCGUUGUCCGGAAUUACUGGGGGUAAAGCGCGCGUAGGCGGGAGGCCAAGUCCGCUGUGAAAUCGCCCGGCUCAACUGGGCGCGGUCGGUGGAAACUGGUCACCUGGAGGACGGUAGAGGCGAGUGGAAUUCCCGGUGUAGUGGUGAAAUGCGUAGAGAUCGGGAGGAACACCAGUGGCGAAGGCGGCUCGCUGGGCCGGCCCUGACGCUGAGGCGCGAAGGCGUGGGGAGCGAACGGG